This 372-nucleotide ribosomal RNA is filed under the name uncultured organism. Its description in RNAcentral is "bacterial SSU rRNA". It matches the Rfam family "Bacterial small subunit ribosomal RNA", at positions 526 to 896 of the family's 1533-position model. The record is from RNAcentral.
CAGAGGGGGCAAGCGUUGUUCGGAAUUACUGGGCGUAAGGGCGCGUAGGCGGCCUGUUAAGUCGAACGUGAAAUCCCCAGGCUCAACCUGGGAACUGCGUCCGAUACUGGCAGGCUUGAAUCCGGGAGAGGGAUGUGGAAUUCCAGGUGUAGCGGUGAAAUGCGUAGAUAUCUGGAGGAACACCGGUGGCGAAGGCGGCAUCCUGGACCGGUAUUGACGCUGAGGCGCGAAAGCCAGGGGAGCAAACGGGAUUAGAUACCCCGGUAGUCCUGGCCCUAAACGAUGAAUGCUUGGUGUGGCGGGUAUCGAUCCCUGCCGUGCCGAAGCUAACGCAUUAAGCAUUCCGCCUGGGGGAGUACGGUCGCAAGGCUG